Daphnia pulicaria is the source of this 586-nucleotide long non-coding RNA. RefSeq lists it as uncharacterized. The record is from RefSeq and is a predicted model, not a curated record. Lineage: Eukaryota; Metazoa; Arthropoda; Branchiopoda; Diplostraca; Daphniidae. The transcript has 3 exons.
AGUAUUCAGAUUUAAUCAUUCACCAAAUUUUAAAUUAUCUGAUUGAAAGGUAUUCUGCGUAAUGAAUACUAAAAAAGGUUCUGUGAGUAGAAUGUGCAAAGUGUCAAAUUGCCGUAACCUGAAAAGUGCAAGUGUAAAACUGUAUAGUGUAUAGUUUACCAAAGGAGGGUGUAAGGCGAGACUUGUGGUUUGAGAGAAUGUAUUACAUCAACGACACCAACCUGAAAAAUCUGUAUGUGUGUUUGGAUCACUUUCUCACAGGAAAGCCGAGUGGAGAAUUCAAAAAAAAAACAUGUUGAUUGGGCACCCUCUAUAAAUUUGGGAUCAAAUAAGACGAAACAAUUUCUAGUUGGUGAUCAGAAAGUAAGUAACAAUGUUGCUUUUGACAAGGCUGAUACACCUUUGCCUUCAUCAACACUACCCGUGAUGGGAGAGCAAUGGCCAUGAACUCUUGAACCCAACCAUCUUUUACAGCCUUUUUGGAUUAAGAAGACAGCCCCUUGUAUGCACCAAGGGCUUCCAGAUGAUUUUGAUAGCUUUUUGUUUCAACAAGAUAUAUGAAGAUAUCUGUGGGAGAAAUUUUUGG